Rhineura floridana is the source of this 109-nucleotide small nuclear RNA. The record is from RefSeq and is a predicted model, not a curated record. Lineage: Eukaryota; Metazoa; Chordata; Lepidosauria; Squamata; Rhineuridae.
UUGAAAUUCUUUGAAAUACUAAAAUUGGAAUGAUACAGAGAAGAUUGGCAUGGGCUCUGCAUAGGGAUGUGCUAGAAUUCCUUCCAAUUCAGAUUCGGUACAGAAUUUU